UACGAAGGGGGCUAGCGUUGCUCGGAAUCACUGGGCGUAAAGCGCACGUAGGCGGCUUUUUAAGUCAGGGGUGAAAUCCUGGAGCUCAACUCCAGAACUGCCUUUGAUACUGAGAAGCUUGAGUCCGGGAGAGGUGAGUGGAACUGCGAGUGUAGAGGUGAAAUUCGUAGAUAUUCGCAAGAACACCAGUGGCGAAGGCGGCUCACUGGCCCGGUACCGACGCUGAGGUGCGAAAGCGUGGGGAGCAAACAGG
This 253-nucleotide ribosomal RNA is filed under the name uncultured bacterium. Its description in RNAcentral is "partial 16S ribosomal RNA". It matches the Rfam family "Bacterial small subunit ribosomal RNA", at positions 524 to 776 of the family's 1533-position model. The record is from RNAcentral.